GACGAACGCUGGCGGCGUGCUUAACACAUGCAAGUCGAACGAAGAGCGAUGGAAGCUUGCUUCUAUCAAUCUUAGUGGCGAACGGGUGAGUAACGCGUAAUCAACCUGCCCUUCAGAGGGGGACAACAGUUGGAAACGACUGCUAAUACCGCAUACGAUCUAAUCUCGGCAUCGAGGAUAGAUGAAAGGUGGCCUCUACAUGUAAGCUAUCACUGAAGGAGGGGAUUGCGUCUGAUUAGCUAGUUGGAGGGGUAAAGGCCCACCAAGGCGAUGAUCAGUAGCCGGUCUGAGAGGAUGAACGGCCACAUUGGGACUGAGACACGGCCCAGACUCCUACGGGAGGCAGCAGUGGGGAAUCUUACGCAAUGGACGAAAGUCUGACGGAGCAACGCCGCGUGAGUGAUGACGGCCUUCGGGUUGUAAAGCUCUGUUAAUCGGGACGAAAGGCCUUCUUGCGAAUAGUGAGAAGGAUUGACGGUACCGGAAUAGAAAGCCACGGCUAACUACGUG
Molecule: ribosomal RNA, 510 nt
Filed under: uncultured bacterium
Lineage: Bacteria
Description: partial 16S ribosomal RNA
Rfam family: Bacterial small subunit ribosomal RNA
Source: RNAcentral